UACAGAGGGGGCAAGCGUUGUUCGGAAUUACUGGGCGUAAAGGGCGCGUAGGCGGCCUUCUAAGUCGAACGUGAAAUCCCCGGGCUCAACCCGGGAACUGCGUCCGAUACUGGCAGGCUUGAAUCCGGGAGAGGGAUGCGGAAUUCCACGUGUAGCAGUGAAAUGCGUAGAUAUGUGGAGGAACACCGAUGGCGAAGGCAGCCCCCUGGGUCAAGAUUGACGCUCAUGCACGAAAGCGUGGGGAGCAAACAGGAU
RNAcentral lists this ribosomal RNA (255 nucleotides) under uncultured bacterium. RNAcentral describes it as "partial 16S ribosomal RNA". It matches the Rfam family "Bacterial small subunit ribosomal RNA", at positions 524 to 778 of the family's 1533-position model. The record is from RNAcentral.